UUUGGCGACUUGGCAGGGAGCCAGCUUCAAACCACCUCAACUCCAUAUUUUAAAAGACUUGUUAUUAGUUCUGUAGAUCUAACUCUUGCUGUACCACUGUCAAGUGUUUUGGAUGAGUAAAAUUUUGUGUGCUAAUCCUAUUCCCAGCAAAGGCAACUAGAAACUGUAUUUCCCUGUCUGUACCAUGUAGGUAACACUUAUUUUGACCAACCUUUGAGAAGGAGAAAUAAGUUACGUUCAUCAAAUUAUUUGAAAACUCAGAGCAUUAUAAAGAAAUUUCUUAACAGAACUUGUGAAGAACACACCUUUGGUGAAAAAGACAUUCUCCACUCAUCCAUUUGGCUGAAAUGAAGACAAGAAACAGCUGAAUAGGUCCUACAGUGCAUUUGCAUAUUACACCCCUGCAUUCAACAGGCAAACCUACAUCUAAUAAUAAAUACUGAAGAGAACAGAAUGAGUCCAUGGGUGUCAAUGCAGAAAAGAGACUUGAUGCACUAAGAGACUUCAUCUGUCUGACUCCAUCUACCCAGUUAUUUGUCAGAGGAGAUGUGCUUUCAAUAUACUAAACUCUAAGUCUCAUGAAAAUCAACAAGUGUGCAGAGGACUGUAAUCACAUUAACUGACCCACUCCCUAAAAGAAUGGAGCCCAGAUCCAAACCUGAAAUUGAAGAAUCCACAGAGAGAUGUAACAGUGUACACACUUCAACUACAGAAAAGUCCCAGAUAAUCCUCAGAUCAACUGUAAGACUCAAGUCCCUCAGAAGUCCAUACCUUAUGGAACAUCUCCUUCCAGAGUUUAUCUUGUCUUACUUUAAUGUAGCAUCUGCAGAUUGUGCAUCUCACUUCUAGUUUUGAACUUUUUUUGUCUGCUUACAUAUAUUGUUUAAUAAUUUGUAAGUUUAUUUUCUUGCAUUUCUACAUCCAUGAAGACAGUCACCCUUUUGUAUGACUCUCUUUCAGUUAUUAAGCAGUAAAACCUCAAUAAAGUUUUCAAUAACUGUUUCUUCAGCUUGCUUUUAUUCCUUUUGAUGAUAUCUGCUAAAUCUCUUUAUAUUCCCU
Chiroxiphia lanceolata (lance-tailed manakin) is the source of this 1059-nucleotide long non-coding RNA. RefSeq lists it as uncharacterized. The record is from RefSeq and is a predicted model, not a curated record. NCBI's taxonomy places the organism in Eukaryota, Metazoa, Chordata, Aves, Passeriformes, Pipridae. The transcript has 3 exons.